GCUGGGCGUGGUGGCGCAUGCCUAUAGUCCCAGCUACUCGGGAGGCUGAGGCAGGAGAAUCGCUUGAACCCGGGAGGUGGAGGUUGCAGUGAGCCGAGAUCGCACCAUUGCACUUCCGCCUGGGUGACAGGGUGAGACUCUGUCUCAA
Gorilla gorilla gorilla (western lowland gorilla) is the source of this 148-nucleotide non-coding RNA. It matches the Rfam family "Metazoan signal recognition particle RNA". Rfam says of the family: The signal recognition particle (SRP) is a universally conserved ribonucleoprotein. Lineage: Eukaryota; Metazoa; Chordata; Mammalia; Primates; Hominidae. The record is from Rfam.